RNAcentral lists this ribosomal RNA (382 nucleotides) under uncultured bacterium. RNAcentral describes it as "bacterial SSU rRNA". It matches the Rfam family "Bacterial small subunit ribosomal RNA", at positions 30 to 416 of the family's 1533-position model. The record is from RNAcentral.
AUUGAACGCUGGCGGAAUGCUUUACACAUGCAAGUCGAACGGCAGCACGGGGCAACCUGGUGGCGAGUGGCGAACGGUGAGUAAUACAUCGGAACGUGCCCAAUCGUGGGGAUAACGUAGCGAAAGUUACGCUAAUACCGCAUACGAUCUACGGAUGAAAGCGGGGGAUCGCAAGACCUCGCGCGAAUGGAGCGGCCGAUGUCAGAUUAGGUAGUUGGUGGGGUAAAGGCUCCCCAAGCCAACGAUCUGUAGCUGGUCUGAGAGGACGACCAGCCACACUGGAACUGAGACACGGUCCAGACUCCUACGGGAGGCAGCAGUGGGGAAUUUUGGACAAUGGGCGCAAGCCUGAUCCAGCCAUUCCGCGUGCAGGAUGAAGGCC